UAAGUAGACCGCCUGGGGAGUACGGCCGCAAGGUUAAAACUCAAAUGAAUUGACGGGGGCCCGCACAAGCGGUGGAGCAUGUGGUUUAAUUCGAUGCAACGCGAAGAACCUUACCUGGUCUUGACAUCCACAGAAGAAUCCAGAGAUGGAUUUGUGCCUUCGGGAACUGUGAGACAGGUGCUGCAUGGCUGUCGUCAGCUCGUGUUGUGAAAUGUUGGGUUAAGUCCCGCAACGAGCGCAACCCUUAUCCUUUGUUGCCAGCGGUUAGGCCGGGAACUCAAAGGAGACUGCCAGUGAUAAACUGGAGGAAGGUGGGGAUGACGUCAAGUCAUCAUGGCCCUUACGACCAGGGCUACACACGUGCUACAAUGGCGCAUACAAAGAGAAGCGACCUCGCGAGAGCAAGCGGACCUCAUAAAGUGCGUCGUAGUCCGGAUUGGAGUCUGCAACUCGACUCCAUGAAGUCGGAAUCGCUAGUAAUCGUGGAUCAGAAUGCCACGGUGAAUACGUUCCCGGGCCUUGUACACACCGCCCGUCACACCAUGGGAGUGGGUUGCAAAAGAAGUAGGUAGCUUAACCUUCGGGAGGGCGCUUACCACUUUGUGAUUCAUGACUGGGGUGAAGUCGUAACAAGGUAACCGUAGGGGAACCUGCGGUUGGAUCACCUCCUUACCUUAAAGAA
RNAcentral lists this ribosomal RNA (682 nucleotides) under Salmonella enterica subsp. enterica serovar Enteritidis. RNAcentral's name for it is "bacterial SSU rRNA". It matches the Rfam family "Bacterial small subunit ribosomal RNA", at positions 861 to 1533 of the family's 1533-position model. Lineage: Bacteria; Pseudomonadati; Pseudomonadota; Gammaproteobacteria; Enterobacterales; Enterobacteriaceae. The record is from RNAcentral.